UACGUAGGGUGCGAGCGUUGUCCGGAAUUAUUGGGCGUAAAGAGCUCGUAGGCGGUCUGUCGCGUCGGUCGUGAAAACUUGGGGCUUAACCCUGAGCUUGCGGUCGAUACGGGCAUGACUGGAGUUCGGCAGGGGAGACUGGAAUUCCUGGUGUAGCGGUGAAAUGCGCAGAUAUCAGGAAGAACACCCGUGGCGAAGGCGGCUUUCUGGGACGGUACUGACGCUGAGACGCGAAAGCGUGGGGAGCGAACAGG
RNAcentral lists this ribosomal RNA (254 nucleotides) under uncultured bacterium. Its description in RNAcentral is "partial 16S ribosomal RNA". It matches the Rfam family "Bacterial small subunit ribosomal RNA", at positions 524 to 776 of the family's 1533-position model. The record is from RNAcentral.